CACUGCUGAUUUGGGGAAUCUGCAAUAUCAAACCGUCAUGGUAAUGAUCAAAUCAAUGGCAUAGGUACUGCUACUCUUCCUAUUUCUCAUAUUGCCUCCAAUUGAAUAACGAUACUUUCACUCUUAAUAAUAUACUUCUUUAUGUUUUCAUGGAUUUUGUAAACAAGAUCAUAAAGGACAGUUUAUUUUGAGCAUAUGGUCAGAUUUUUGCAGGAGCUCAAAUAAACAUACAGGUAUCAUAUCUCGUUGGUGGUUCAUGUUAUAUAUUGCUGUUGCACAGUAGUUUUGGAAUUCAAUUAACUUGUUAGUUAUUUGUUGUUCCUUAGCUCAAUGUUGUAGUGAUAUAUAGACAGAACUUUGAAAUGGUUAUUGAGACUGUAGCACCUUGUGCACACUCCAGAAAAAUCUCAAUAUUGAUAUUCUGAAUUUCACGUUAUGAAUUCAUGCACAGUUGUCCUCUUAACUUGCUGUACUAAAAAUGCAAAUUCAGAAGGGUUCGAUUUUGGUGGUGAGAAUCAACUUAGUUAGUUGUGGAUGAAGGUUUUGUUAUGUUAAUUCUUUGUGUUCCAUAAUCUUUUUAAUUUCUGAUAAAUCUAACCUCCAAGAACAAUGAAGAUAUUGAAACAAAGUAGAAUCAAUUUGAGUGGUGCAGUGUUAUUUACCUUAGCAUAAGGGGAAUAGUACUUAUAGCCUUCAUUAUGGUUUCCACAUAUCAUUAACUUGUUUAACAUAUAUAUAUCUGUUUGCCCUAUGACUCUAG
This 760-nucleotide long non-coding RNA is filed under the name Fragaria vesca (wild strawberry). RNAcentral's name for it is "long non-coding RNA (FVES_LNC000044)". The record is from RNAcentral. Lineage: Eukaryota; Viridiplantae; Streptophyta; Magnoliopsida; Rosales; Rosaceae.